Molecule: long non-coding RNA, 1840 nt
Organism: Pseudopipra pipra
Lineage: Eukaryota; Metazoa; Chordata; Aves; Passeriformes; Pipridae
Exons: 2
Source: RefSeq, a predicted model, not a curated record
GGGAACUGGGGCUAUUGUCAGGGGAACUGGGGAAGGACAGGGGGGAACUGGGGCUGUUCCCGGGGUAACUGGGCUGACAGGGGGCACUGGGGGGAACUGGUUUGACUGGGGUGGGGUGGCGCAGUGAGAGGGGCAAGUGGGAGAGACUGGAGGGCACCGGGCAGGCACUGGGGUGUGCUCGGUGCGACACCGGGGCCGGGGAGGGGCCGGGGGUCGGCCCCAGGGCGGCUCCCCCAGCCCGUCCCCGCCCCGUCGGGUCCCCCCGCCCUUCCCCGCGGCCUCGGGCCCCGCGGGCUCUGAAAUGGCGGCCGGAGGCGGCGGCGCCGUGGAAAUGGACCCACCGACACCCCCGGCCCCCGGGACAGACCCCAGGGCGAGACCCCCAGGACGGGCCCCUCCACGGCCCCCCGCGCUGGACCGGACUCUCUCCUCCCCUCCCGACCCUCCAGUCCCCUCCUGUCCCCUCCACCUCAUCCUGUCUCAUCCCGUCCAGUCCUAUUCUCUCCAACCCCACCCCAUCCUGUCGUGCCCUGUCCACUCUUAUGCCGCUUUUAUCCAUCCCACCACGUCCUGUCCCAUCAAUCCCCCCUGUCCCAUCCCAUCCCAUCCCAUCCCAUCCCAUCCCAUCCCAUCCCAUCCCAUCCCAUCCACCCUGUCCCCAUCCCAUCCAUCCUGUUGAGUCUUGCCUAGUCUUGUCAUGUCCCAUCCAGUCCCACCCUACCCAUCCCACAUCUUGUCCCAUCCCAUUCCAGCCCUCCUGUCCCAUCCUAUCCCACCUGUCUCGUGCAGUUUCAUCCUGUCCCAUCUCAUCCCAGCCCAUUCAUCCUGUCCCCCUGUACCCUAUUCUAUCCCACCCACCCUAUCCCAUCCCAUUUCAUCCCAUCCAUCCUGUCCCACCUCAUUCCAUCCCCGGGCCAUCCCAUCUGCCCUGUCCCAUCCCUUCCUGUUCUGGCACAGCCCCUGUCACACGGCCCCACUGCCAGUCCGGACUUUGGGGACCCGGGGUGACAAUGGGGGGAAGUUGGGAACAACAAACACGGGGGAGGGCAGGAAACCCUUUGGUUUGUGGGAAAAGGGAGGGGAUGAGGGGGGACAGGAUGAGGCACCCUGCCUUGGAGGGGUACAGGGGUGUGACAGCAGGUGGGGACCCCCAAUUAGAGACCCCCCUGUCCUGGGCUGUCCCAGGGAUCUGCAACCCCCAUCCAGGAGUGAUCCAUUGGGAAGGAAUGCCAGGACCAACUCUGGGAUGGAGGGUGUCACUGCCUGGAGUCUGUACAUCCCAGUGCAACUGGGGAGUCUGGGAUCCAGGGCAGCUGCUGGGUGGAGGGAGUGCCUGAUCCUGGCUCUGGGAGGCUCCAAGCUGUCCCUAUGGAGAUCCAGGCGUUUUUAUCAGCAGAGGAAAAGGUAAAACCACGAAUCCCAAAUGCCGGACGCAGCACCCGGAGCAGCCUCGUUUGCCAGGCUUGGCUCCACGGAUGCUCAGCUUGGCUUGUGCCGUUCACCUGUCCCACAAGUUACCUGGCAAAGCUCCCAAACAACAGCCAGGAGCAGGGCGACGGAGCUGCAGGAAUCGGCAAGGGGCUGCCACGGCUCAUCCCACACGGAAUUCAGAGUGGAAACACUGUAUUGACAGACUUUACAAAAGUUGUUACAAAACACGGUCACGAACCAGCAGCUGACGAUACACAGCGAAGAGACACCACGUACAGGCACCUCGGAACAACACCAACAGCUCCAGAAGUCAACCAAUAUUUACACAAACGGCUGGAAAACUCUGGGCGUUUAUCGCAUAACAUGGAAGUGUUUUAGAGCAACUGUGAAAUAUAGUGUCACACCUUUC